CAAUAUGUAAACACGAUCAAAUGAUCUUGUCUGUUCAGUCGCAUAGCAUUAUGCUUAUUUUGUGUUUCCGUUCCAUUUUUAUAAGGUGUACAAUUCUCUCGGAUUUUAUCCAUACUGUUAUACGCGAAGCAGACGACAUUUUACAAAUGUCGGAUCUGAGUGUGACUGACAAACGGAAUAAUGUCCUUCUACAAGCAUGAAGAUACUGAAGAAAUUUUUGCGUAAAUAAUGUAAAAAUCAAUACUACUGAAUUAACUACAUUUGAACCAUCGGAGAUAGAAC
This 282-nucleotide long non-coding RNA is filed under the name Mytilus galloprovincialis (Mediterranean mussel). Lineage: Eukaryota; Metazoa; Mollusca; Bivalvia; Mytilida; Mytilidae. The record is from RNAcentral.